This 468-nucleotide ribosomal RNA is filed under the name uncultured bacterium. RNAcentral describes it as "partial 16S ribosomal RNA". It matches the Rfam family "Bacterial small subunit ribosomal RNA", at positions 28 to 507 of the family's 1533-position model. The record is from RNAcentral.
GACGAACGCUGGCGGCGUGCUUGACACAUGCAAGUCGAACGGGAAGGCCCUGCUUUUGUGGGGUGCUCGAGUGGCGAACGGGUGAGUAACACGUGAGUAACCUGCCCUUGACUUUGGGAUAACUUCAGGAAACUGGGGCUAAUACCGGAUAGGAGCUCCUGCUGCAUGGUGGGGGUUGGAAAGUUUCGGCGGUCGGGGAUGGACUCGCGGCUUAUCAGCUUGUUGGUGGGGUAGUGGCUUACCAAGGCUUUGACGGGUAGCCGGCCUGAGAGGGUGACCGGCCACAUUGGGACUGAGAUACGGCCCAGACUCCUACGGGAGGCAGCAGUGGGGAAUAUUGCACAAUGGGCGGAAGCCUGAUGCAGCAACGCCGCGUGCGGGAUGACGGCCUUCGGGUUGUAAACCGCUUUCGCCUGUGACGAAGCGUGAGUGACGGUAAUGGGUAAAGAAGCACCGGCUAACUACGUG